GACGAACGCUGGCGGCGCGCCUCAUACAUGCAAGUCGAACGAGAAGCCUGGAGCUUGCUCUGGGUGGAGAGUGGCGAACGGGUGAGGAACACGUGAGGAACCUCGCCCGAAGACUGGGAUAACACCGGGAAACCGGUGCUAAUACCGGAUGUCCUCAUCGGACCGCAUGAUCCGAUGAGGAAAUGGAUUCCGCUUCGGGAUGGCCUCGCGGCCUAUCAGCUUGUUGGUGGGGUAACGGCCCACCAAGGCUUCGACGGGUAGCUGGUCUGAGAGGAUGUCCAGCCACACUGGGACUGAGACACGGCCCAGACUCCUACGGGAGGCAGCAGUAGGGAAUCUUGCGC
RNAcentral lists this ribosomal RNA (344 nucleotides) under uncultured bacterium. RNAcentral describes it as "bacterial SSU rRNA". It matches the Rfam family "Bacterial small subunit ribosomal RNA", at positions 28 to 369 of the family's 1533-position model. The record is from RNAcentral.